Heterocephalus glaber (naked mole-rat) is the source of this 2056-nucleotide non-coding RNA. The record is from RefSeq and is a predicted model, not a curated record. NCBI's taxonomy places the organism in Eukaryota, Metazoa, Chordata, Mammalia, Rodentia, Bathyergidae.
UUACGUCAUCCCGAAGCGACAAAAGUAUGGUGGGGGUGGAGUUGUGAUUGUACCUCGGUGGUGUUAGGGGCGGCUAGCGAAGGUGUCAUGGCUGCUGCCACGGAGUUUAGUCGCCCAAGCAACAAUGACAGGAUCCUAGAGCGAAGCUGCAGUCCCAACCACUCCCGAGAGGUGCUGUGCGAAAUCUUUCGCUCCCUGCACACCUUGGCUGGACAGCUUAACCUCAAAGAUGAUGUGGUGAAAAUUACAAUCGAUUGGAACAAGCUCCAGAGCCUCUCGGCAUUCCAGCCUGCAUUGCUCUUUAGAGCCCUUGAGCAACACAUUUUAUAUUUACAGUUUGAACGCCAGCAGAUGGAAUUGUGUUCUCAGCCUUUUUUAGCAAAACUUCAGCCUGUGAUUAAAGAGGAGAAUUCAGCUGCUAUUGAAGAGAUAGGAAAAACAGAAACAAGGAACAAGAAUGAACUAAAUGCCAAAUUUCCCCCUGGUGACCGACAAGAGGAAGAAAAGCACAAAGAUUGUGAUUUAGGAGAUGUGAAAAAGAUACAAGUUCAUUUUGAUUCAGAAGUAGUUCAAAUAAAGGCUGGAAAAGCAGAAAUUGACAGAAGAAUAUCUGCGUUUAUUGAAAGAAAGCAAGCUGAAAUCAAUGAAAACAACGUCAGGGAAUUUUGCAAUGUUAUUGAUUGUAAUCAAGAAAAUAGUUGUGCAAGAACUGAUGCCGUUUUUACACCUUACCCCGGAUUUAAAAGUCACGUAAAGGUUUCUAGAGUUGUGAAUACAUAUGGACCACAGACUAGACCUGAAGGAAUUCAAGGGUCAGGUCAUAAAUCUAACAGCAUGCUUCGAGACUGUGGUAAUCAGGCUGUAGAAGAACGACUCCAAAAUAUUGAGGCUCACUUGCGAUUGCAGUCAGGUGGUCCAGUUCCAAGAGACAUUUAUCAGAGAAUUAAAAAACUUGAAGAUAAAAUCCUUGAAUUGGAAGGCAUCUCUCCUGAAUAUUUUCAAUCUGUGAAAUAAUCUGAUUGCUUAAUGACAUAGAACGUAUUGAUAGUCUACAGAUUAAAUUGUUAUGACCACAAGAUGAAGUGUAUUUUCAUCCAGUGUAUAAAAGUUACCCCUUGGGAAAGUAGGAGACUGAGCAACAAAGGAAUUAAGCAUUAAGCUCUUACUUGCCUCAAGACCCCACCACAGAACUUUUCUGGAAAAAGAAGAAAAGUUCAGCCACCUCAACAGAACUAUUCCCUGGCUGAACUUGAUGAGAAAAUUAGUGCCCUCAAACAGGCCCUGCUCAGAAAAUCAAGAGAAGCAGAAUCCAUGGCAACUCACCACCUUCCAUGAAAAACUCCUCUCCUCAUCAUUUUACUUUUUUAUGUACAUGUGUAACUUACUCUGUAAUUAAUUAAAUGGAUAUGUAUAUAUAGAUAGAUAGAUAGCUAUCAAUGUGAAGUCAAGGUAGCAAAAACUCUUCAAGUAUUCCAGUGAGUUUUGAAAUAAUGUAUUGAAAAUAGCAUUGUUGGAAACUAUUCUGUUUUAAAGGAGGCAUUUUGGAAAUUUAAAAAAAUGUACUUUAUUUUGGUGGACCACAGAAAGAAAGAUUAUUGUGAUACUGAUAUAUAAAAGGACUUUAUAAAAUUGACUAACCAGUUUAUUAGUUUAAAUUAGUACUUUGUACUUACUGGGCAUUCAACAAAAAUUUAUUGAUUGAAAUGAAUUUUUAAUGUGUAUAUAAACUUGUAGUUUUAUUUUUCAGAUGUCAGUGUUAAUGUAAAUAAAUAAUAAAUCCAGCUUUAUUCCUUUACUUAAGGUGAUCUUGAACAAAUUACUUCAUCUUAUUUUGUGCCCUAAUUUCUUAAUUGGUAAAAGGGGAAUGAUAAUAAUAGAACCUACUUCAUUGGUUUUGAAGAAUUGGUGAGAUGGUUUUGAAAUUGUCCCGAAGAAAUUGCUCAGUAAAUGUUACCUGUUAUUAGUAAAUGAAACCUGGCCUGUCUUUGGACAUUAGUAAAGGUGUUACAAAGAAUUAUAUUGUCAUAGUUGGAAAUUAAACAUUUAAAAGAUGCAA